Long non-coding RNA from Taeniopygia guttata (zebra finch), 4886 nucleotides. The record is from Ensembl. Lineage: Eukaryota; Metazoa; Chordata; Aves; Passeriformes; Estrildidae.
AUGUCUGUGAUGCUUCAGUGGCCGGGGCAGGCAUUGCUCAGCACAGUGAAUCAGCUCCUGGAGCCUGUCCCUGGCUCCCUUCCUGGCUCCAUUCCUGCCGGGAUCGCUCCUGGAGCUGCCCCUGGCUCCUCUGCCCAGGAUCGCUCCUGGAGCUGCCCCUGGCUCCCUUCCUGGCUCCAUUCCUGCUGGGAUCGCUCCUGGAGCCUGUCCCUGGAUCACUCCUGGAGCUGUCCCUGGCUCCUCUGCCCAGGAUUGCUCCCGGAGCUGCCCCUGGCUUCUCUCACCGGGAUCGCUCCCAGAGCUGUCCCUGGCUCCCUUCCUGCUGGGAUCGCUCCUGGAGCCUGUCCCUGGAUCACUCCUGGAGCUGUCCCUGGCUCCUCUGCCCAGGAUUGCUCCCGGAGCUGCCCCUGGCUUCUCUCACCGGGAUCGCUCCCGGAGCUGUCCCUGGCUCCCCUCACCCUGAAAUGCUCCCGGAGCUGUCCCUGGCUCCUUCCCCCGGGAUCGCUCCUGGAGCUGCCCCUGGCUCCUUCCCCCGGGAUCACUCCCGGAGCUGCCCCUGGCUCCUUUCCUGCCGGGAUCGCUCCUGGAGCUGCCCCUGGCUCCCCUCACCGGGAUCGCUCCCGGAGCUGCCCCUGGCUCCUCUCACUGGGAUCACUCCUGGAGCCUGUCCCUGGCUCCCUUCCUGGCUCCAUUCCUGCCGGGAUCGCUCCCGGAGCUGCCCCUGGCUCCUCUCACUGGGAUCACUCCCGGAGCUGCCCCUGGCUCCCCUCACCGGGAUCGCUCCCGGAGCUGCCCCUGGCUCCAUUCCUGCCGGGAUCACUCCCGGAGCUGCCCCUGGCUCCCCUCACCGGGAUCACUCCCGGAGCUGCCCCUGGCUCCCCUCACCGGGAUCACUCCCGGAGCUGCCCCUGGCUCCCCUCACCGGGAUCGCUCCCAGAGCUGUCCCUGGCUCCUUCCCCCGGGAUCACUCCCGGAGCUGUCCCUGGUUCCCCUCACCCUGAAAUGCUCCUGGCACCACAGCUGCUGUCGGGGUCGUGCUGCCCUUCCACUCUGGGUUUGUUAUUUUUCAUUAAAACUGAGGUAGCAAAGAGGCUGAGUGUUCCCAAACAGUGUUGUGCUGAGGGCAGGGAAUUCCCACAGCAGGAAUUGGGGUGUAGGGUGGGCAGGAGCACCCACAGUGGGUGCUGAGGGAAUUCCCACAGCAGGAAUUGGGGUGUGGGGUGGGCAGGAGCACCCACAGUGGGUGCUCAGGGAAUUCCCACAGCAGGAAUUGAGGUGUAGGGUGGGCAGGAGCACCCACAGUGGGUGCUGAGGGCAGGGAAUUCCCACAGCUGGAAUUGGGGUGUGGGGUGGGCAGGAGCACCCACAGUGGGGUGGGUGAGAGGGGUGUGGGGUGUAGUAGAGGGUGUAGAACUCAUGUGCAUGGUGGUGAUGUGUAGGACAGUAGAGGUUCCCAUGGGUGUCGGUGUCUUUCUUGUAACCACAUGUAAUCCAUUUUUAAAGAAGAAAAGGUGUUUUCGUACUCGGGGUCGGGGUUUAUUUUCAUUUAGGCUGGACCAGCCUUUUGGGGCAGCUGGGGUUGGUCCUUGGGGGUUUCCCUGGGAGGUCGUUGGUUCCAAGUCCGGCCGUGCUGCUGCUCCUGCUCCGUGUGUGUGGCACCGCUCCAGAAACCAGAUCAAAGCUUGCCAGAGAAAAAAAAAAAAAAGAAAAAAAGGAAUUUAAUUGUAAAAAUGCUGGAAAUGAUCUUGAUGACCUCUUUCUUUUUUUCUUUGUAAAGCUGUAAAUACUUUAUUUUUGUUUUCUAUUCUUAAUGCGGUGUCAUAUUGACACUUUUUUAGAUUUACAGUCAGAAAAUCCUCCUCAUUGUUUCUCAUUUUUUAAAAGGGGAUUUCAAGGAAGCAAAUUUUUUUGCUCGCUAGCAGUGUAAUAAUAGAUCAAAUUCCUAAACUGGGUUUGUACAAAAAUGUUUUCAGUAAACAAAUGGCAGUUUGUGGAUGCAUGUUGUUCAAAAAUGUCCAAAGAAUAACGUGGUACAAAUGUUUUAAAGAAUAAUGUGGUACAAACAUUUUUUUCAAAGACUUAGUGAUUAUCAUCUUAGUUCACACAAGGAAAAAAAGCAAAAUUAUUUAAAAAAAAUGUUUGGGGGGGAAUGUAAUGAAACUCAUCUAAGCUAAAUGUGUAAUCUAUUUAUAAAAACACAGUAUAUAUUCUAUUUUUAUCAGAGGUUUUUAAAGUGCAAACAGAUUUCUGUUGGCAGAUGCAAUUGUUCCCUUGUAAAGUCUCUUCUGCUCUGUGGGACCCCCAAAUUCUCUGAUGGUUCCAAGAGUCAAUGUGGAAAUCACCAGGACAGGUUUGGCUGUGGAGCACUCACAGGGGAGGCUGCAGCUUCAGCAUCUCUUCUGCCUCUGCAGAAUUGUUGCUGUGAUUUUAUUCCCUUCCCUGUGCUUUUAUUCCCUUUCCCCGACUGGGAGGAUACUCCUGGAAAGGGUCAGGACCUCCUGGAGCACGGCAGGACAGGGGUUAAACUCUGCCUCAGCCUGGAGAAUAUAAAAAUUAAAUAUAAAUAAUAUUCCUACCUGUAGAAAUUUGGAUUAACUCAACAAAACCAAACAACAGAUGGGAAUCCUGCCUGAAUAUGCAUCCAGAGCUGCUUCUGAAGGGAAAUAAUAUUAAUUUUCUUUUCCGUGCUCAUUGCUGCCAGCAGAACCACGAGCAGGGUGCUCCCGGAGCCGCUCCGUGUUUCCCUUGGCUCUGGGAAUCCGGGAUGUUUGUGUUGGAAGAGCUGCAGAGCUGUGAGGUUUCAUGUUUGAGUGCUUCAUUUUAGAGCUGAGUGUUUAAGGAGCGAUUUAUCCCGGCUAAAUUAAGACAUCCCAGCACUUCCAGGAGGCAGGAACACCCCAGUGAGGAUUUUCCACCUUUGGCUGGAGGACUUUUGGGGUUUUUCUCCUUUUAAAUGCUGGGUUUUAAGCUUUUUUAGCGGGAUGUAAUGUGUGUCUGUUUGAGUUUUAGCUAAGAAACAAAAUUACCAGCGAGGCAAGAGGUUAUUCCUGGUGGGAAUAACAGCAGAGGUGAGCUGGGAGCUGCUCCCUGCCUGCCAAAUUCUCCGUGGGAAUGGGAUGCCAGCCCUUCUCCCUGGCCCAGGCUUUGGCACAGCAGUGGGGAAGCACUUGAGCUUUCCCUUUCUGUCUGUUUUUGUGCAGCUUCGCUGUCCUCAGACCCUUCUGCGUUUGCAGGAGCCUUUCAGAGCUUCUCUUUUGAAGGAGCAACAAAUUGUGUUUCGAUGUGGGUGUUUGAUUGCAGAAUCACCAUCCCCCUAAUCUGAGGCACUCCAACAGUGAAGCACUGGGGAGGGGGUGCUUGGCGGUCUGGCCAGCUCCUUUUUUGGGAAAUAAUGAUGUUAAAGCUUAAAACAACCCCCGGGGUGGCUUCACACCGCUGUCAUCUCUGAGGCAGAGCAGCCCAGACCACGGUGCCACAAACCCGCUGGAGCUGCCCAGACUGCCACCCCCGAACCCCCAAAUUUCUGUUUUAUUGGAGAGGCUUUGAGGGCAGUCCAACCUCAGUCACUAAAACACACUCCUUCCUGUGACCUGGUUUCACCAAAAAACUCACAACCCAGUCCCUGAAACACCUUCCUGUGGUUAAAGUACAUGUAGCGACCUUCAGCCAAAAAAGAUUAUUUAUUAUUUAUCAUGUUCGAGUGCGGGGUAUUGAUGCCUCUUCCCUCCUGCUGUGUCACUUCUUGUCGAUUCCUCUUUAGGUCACUUAAGAGUUUCUUUUAUCCCCACGACAACGAACUGCUGAUGGUGUGAGAAUGCCCCUGGUUACCGUCCCCGUGUAAAUAUUGUGCUUUAUAUUCUGUAUAUUAGCUAAUUUUAAUGGAAAAGACUGGACUGAUGAUGCUGUUGGAUGAUCCCAGGAGGGGAAAGGCCAGAGGAUGACCCAGCUCCCGGCCUCUGGGGCUGGAAUUCUGUGCUGGGAACCCGCAGCAGCUGGAAUGGGACACCACCAGUGGAUUUGGGACCACGAAACGCUUCGAGAAUCCAAUCCACGUCCGGAGGAGCCCUGAGAACUCCCUCAGCCAGAGCCAGAACCACCAGAACCACGCGGCCUCCUCCGAGCUCGGCGGAUUUGCUCUGUUUUCCUUUUUUUAGUGCCAAAACCGACCCCACCAACCCCUUGCAGGUCUGCUGGUGGCUCUCUGUGUGCUGCUGUAGUGUCCAGCUGUGUCCAGCUGUGUCCAGGUGUGUCCAGCGGUGUCCAGCCAGUGCCCAGCUGUGCCCAACCAGUGUCCAGCUGUGUCCAGCUGUGUCCAGCUGUGCCCAGCCCACCCCACCCCUCCGUCCUGCCGGACCCCAGGGGCAGCAGCUGCCCAUGAAACAGGUCCCAGUCGGUCUCCGGUGACGAUGAAAACCACAAAAAACUAUAAAAUAAAUACCAAACUCCUGGUUGAACGGCUCUGCGUGGUAAUUCUUGGGGCGGAAAACGCCUCUAAAGCAAAAGGAUUUGGCUCUAAGGAGGGAGGGACCAUCCUCGUUCCCCAAAAUCCGCCCAGCCCAGGUGAUUUGGGGUCAUAAAAUAGCCCAAACUACCCUCAAAAUCAGGGUCCUUCAGCUGCUGCUGUUGAAACAUGACUCUCCUUGGAAAUUAAAAUACCCCCUGCACACUUCAGCCUUCUCCUGGCCCUGUGCCCCAGCCAGGCCCCACCUUUGGGUUAAAAUCACCCCUUUUUUGCUAAAGUCUCAGUUCCUAAGGAGAUCCUCGGUUGAUUUCUCUUUCUCCCCGCCGAAAUCCUCUCCGGCGGCUCGGCCCCGCUGAGCUCCGGGCACAGCCCCAGCCGCCGCCUCUCCUCGGGCCGUUUUUGUUGUUGUUUUCCCCGAAUUUCC